This 164-nucleotide small nuclear RNA is filed under the name Sinocyclocheilus anshuiensis. Its description in RNAcentral is "U1 spliceosomal RNA (ENSSANG00000045719.1)". It matches the Rfam family "U1 spliceosomal RNA". Rfam says of the family: U1 is a small nuclear RNA (snRNA) component of the spliceosome (involved in pre-mRNA splicing). Its 5' end forms complementary base pairs with the 5' splice junction, thus defining the 5' donor site of an intron. The record is from Rfam by way of RNAcentral. Lineage: Eukaryota; Metazoa; Chordata; Actinopteri; Cypriniformes; Cyprinidae.
AUAUUUAACUGAUAGUGGAGACAUCAUGAUUAAGAAGGUGAUUCACCCAGGGCGAGGCUCGGCCAUUUCUCUGCAGCCCUGCUGAUCCCUGUGCAUUCUCCAAAUGUUGGAAUCUCGACUGCAUAAUUUAUGAUAGUGGGGGCCUGUGUUUGCACUCUCCCCUG